ACGGGUGAGUAACGCGUGGGUAAUCUACCCCGGUCUGGGGGAUAACGCACCGAAAGGUACGCUAAUACCGCAUGACCCGACGGGUCCUUGAAUCCGUCGGAAAAGGUGGCCUCUACAUGUAAGCUACCGAACUGGGAUGAGCCCGCGUCCUAUUAGCUAGUUGGUGGGGUAAAGGCCUACCAAGGCGACGAUGGGUAGCUGGUCUGAGAGGACGGCCAGCCACACUGGAACUGGUACACGGUCCAGACUCCUACGGGAGGCAGCAGUGAGGAAUAUUGCGCAAUGGGGGAAACCCUGACGCAGCGAUGCCGCGUGGGUGAAGAAGGCCUUCGGGUCGUAAAGCCCUGUCAAACGGGAAGAACAGUUUGGAGACGAAUAAUCUUCAGGCCCGACGGUACCGUUGAAGGAAGCACCGGCUAACUCCGUGCCAGCAGCCGCGGUAAGACGGAGGGUGCAAGCGUUAUUCGGAUUUAUUGGGCGUAAAGAGCAUGUAGGCGGUCGGUCAAGUCUGAUGUGAAAUCCCGGGGCUUAACCUCGGAAGGGCGUUGGAAACUGGUCGACUUGAGUUCGGGAGAGGAAAG
RNAcentral lists this ribosomal RNA (581 nucleotides) under uncultured bacterium. Its description in RNAcentral is "bacterial SSU rRNA". It matches the Rfam family "Bacterial small subunit ribosomal RNA", at positions 102 to 661 of the family's 1533-position model. The record is from RNAcentral.